UGAUGACGUCGGUGGAGGAGCGUGUGUAAUACGAGGGUGGGGAAGGGUGGUCGGAGUGAACGGGCGUGAAGUGUGAUGAGGCGGCCCUAGUUGUUAGGGGUGCAAGCCCCGUGGUGAACCUUGGAGGUGCGUUUGAUACGGUGUUGCUAUAGUUCGGGAGAGGAGAGUGGAAUUCCCAGUGUAGAGGUGAAAUUCGUAGAUAUUGGGAAGAACACCGGUGGCGAAGGCGGCUCUCUGGACCGAGACUGACGCUGAGGCGCGAAAGCGUGGGGAGCAAACAGGAUUAGAUACCCUAGUAGUC
This 301-nucleotide ribosomal RNA is filed under the name uncultured Bacillus sp. Its description in RNAcentral is "bacterial SSU rRNA". The stretch from base 53 to 301 matches the Rfam family "Bacterial small subunit ribosomal RNA", at positions 547 to 795 of the family's 1533-position model. Lineage: Bacteria; Bacillati; Bacillota; Bacilli; Caryophanales; Bacillaceae. The record is from RNAcentral.